ACUAAUUUUAAUGAAUGCAGUCUGUGUCAGAUUAUAUCUUGUUAGACUUCAGUUUAUGUUUCACAGAUGAAUAAUGACUAAAACCUCCUGUUCAUUUGCUUGUGCAUUCAAGACAUUUCAGAGGGCAAGUUAACCUCAGUGACAGAGUAUGCGGUAUUUCCUGAUGGACUCUUACAUUGUAGAAGGAAGUUUCUGGUGAAAAUGUGGGACAGGCAUUGGAAUCCAGUCACUAAAGCUUAUGUGAAUGGACCCAGAGCAUUGACUCCAGAGGAACCUGGUACAUGGCCACCUGUACUACAGGCCCCAGAACUACUGGGAGAGGUCAGCCUGUGGUAGCUGCAGGAAAGCCCUUGCCUCUCGGUGAGGCAGAUGGCUUGCCAGCAUCACAUGCUUGCUGGCUGGGGCAGAGCCAGAAGUCACACAUUGCCAGAUCUGGUGAAUAAGGUGCAGGAGGCCAUACCACCAUGUUUUUAUGAGCCUGC
Molecule: non-coding RNA, 482 nt
Organism: Heterocephalus glaber (naked mole-rat)
Lineage: Eukaryota; Metazoa; Chordata; Mammalia; Rodentia; Bathyergidae
Source: RefSeq, a predicted model, not a curated record